AUUGAACGCUGGCGGCAUGCUUUACACAUGCAAGUCGAACGGUAACAGGCCUUCGGGUGCUGACGAGUGGCGAACGGGUGAGUAAUGCAUCGGAACGUACCCAGAGGUGGGGGAUAACGCAGCGAAAGCUGUGCUAAUACCGCAUGUGAUCUGAGGAUGAAAGCGGGGGACCGAGCAGCAAUGUUUGGCCUCGCGCCUUUGGAGCGGCCGAUGUCGGAUUAGCUAGUUGGUGGGGUAAAGGCCUACCAAGGCGACGAUCCGUAGCUGGUCUGAGAGGACGACGAGCAACACUGGGACUGAGACACGGCCCAGACUCCUACGGGAGGAAGCAGUGGGGAAUUUUGGACAAUGGGCGCAAGCCUGAUCCAGCAAUGCCGCGUGCGGGAAGAAGGCCUUCGGGUUGUAAACCGCUUUUGGCAGGAACGAAACGGUGUCCGCUAAUACCGGGCGCUAAUGACGGUACCUGCAGAAUAAGCACCGGCUAACUACGUG
This 492-nucleotide ribosomal RNA is filed under the name uncultured bacterium. RNAcentral's name for it is "partial 16S ribosomal RNA". It matches the Rfam family "Bacterial small subunit ribosomal RNA", at positions 29 to 507 of the family's 1533-position model. The record is from RNAcentral.